CACACACACACACUAUACAGCAAGUCACUGUGUCCGUCUCCUCACUUCUCCUUGUCUGGUGUCUGAUGCAAGGAAUCUGAUGCAAUAUGGGUGCAGAGUUGAGUUCAGCUGCAGCUGAUUGGUCCGUUUCUUUCAGACGCUUCCACACCGCCGCGUCUCACUGUCUGAUUUAAAUCCUACCUUUGUGGCAGGAUCAGAGGGAACAGUAGAGCAGAUCUGCAUUUGAAACCACUAAUGCCUUUUCAGUUGUGAACAGUGAGCCGAGUAACGCCAUCUUUCUUCCCAAAAGAAAAUAAAUGAGCAGCAGUGAGAAAUCCACAUCAGGACAGCAAGGGCAAAUGAAUUACAGCUUCCAGGUGAAGAGCUACAAAGCUGCGCUGCAUUGCUGUUCCUCCAGUUCAGCAGGAUGGAGUUGUGAUCUUCAGGAGCUUCACAAUAUAGUCUGACAUGAAGGACAAAUUUUAUAGAAUUUUGUGCUAAGAUUCUUUCCUACAGUUUAAUCAUUGUAAAAGUCAACAGGAGUCUCAAUGUUUGACUUGCAGCAGUUGUACAGCAAAAAUCACAGAAUCCAUCCACAUUAUAGGAGUAAAUAUUCCACAUCUGAAAUCAUCCACACUUUCAGCAUCUCUCUGAUACACAACACAGUAGUGAAAAAAGCUGUCUUCUCACAUUCUUAUGUAAAAGAAAAUAAUUGUUAAUUUCUUUAUAUUUAUUGUUUGCUUGCUUCUCUGGAGAAAUUUGAACCUUCCUAUUUAAAAGUGUCUCCAUCAGUCAGCGGCACAUGCAGUAAAUUUGUUAGUGUUUUUUCAGUGAAAAUGUCUAUAAGCUAUAUGGCUGAAAAUCCAGGCAUAUCUGAUAUGUUAAUUAUUAUAGGACACUGAACUGUAGAAGUUCCUGAGUGCUGAAUGGCUAGUUAAUUUAGCUAAUGCUAAUGAUGAACAUAUGUCAGUUGUCAUGGAAAUGCUGAAAUAAAUAAGGUUGUACAUCAAGACUCUGAUACUGAAAUCACACUGAGCAAGUUUACUACAGAUUCACUAAACAGCAAGCCAAUGUUCGAUAAAACAUUGAUAUUUAUUGCUCGUGGAAGUUUUUAAUGAAGAUGAAGAUGUAGGAACAUAUGUUUUGCCAUUUUUAUCAUUCAUGAAGUAAUUAAAACAAAACAAACAGUAAAUACUGAACCAGAAAUGAUCAUUUUAUUGCCCUGAAAGAAAAGGGUUGAAAUGAAUGAAUGGAAAUAGUCCAUAACCACUUGAGCCACCACAGUUUCUACUAAUUAAUUUCAAUUCUGUAAUAGACAGAGUGAUGCGUCAUUUGACAAAAAUGGUUUCAGAAAUAAUUUUUCAGCAAGCUGGAAUUCACAGGAUUUAAAAGUUUAACUGUGUUGGAGGUGAGAAAUAUGCUUUUCCAUGUUUCUUGUAACACACCAAGCCUCCAUGUCGCUAAAAAAGGCUUUGCUAAAUAUGCUAACAUGUAGUUAUGUCUAAAAGUGAGCGGUGUAUUUGCGUGGGCUUUAUUGCAGGAGAUCACUCAAAGCAUGGAACGAGACAGAAGCAAAGCGACGUUAAUGACAGGCUGAGGUCAGAGACACUGUCAUCCAGAGCACACACUUCAACAACACCGCCAUCGUUAGCUUUCUUCUCCACUCUGAUCACCAAUUAGAGAAAAACAGACCUCGUCAUUCUGUCUGAGAAAACUCUUAGGCGAGGCUUGUUGUGGUGAGUGUUUAUGGUUUCUGUUAUGUAAGAGACAAUACAGAAUGGAAAAGGACCGAAAGUUUUCCUGAAUUAUCCGACCGCACUAUACAAGCUCGUGACCCUCGUUGUUCAACACUGUGCUGUGGUUAACGCUCUGAGACCAGCUCUGCUUCACUGACGUCAACCGCUCAUGAAAUCCUCACGACAGACUGAAAUCUAUCACAACAUCCUGCUGGGUUCAUUUAUUUGAAUUGUGUUGUGAUGCUGUAGGUUUUAUUUAAACAUACAUUCUUCCAUUUGAGAAUUACUCAAAGUCAUUAGGUACGAUUAUUGUUUAGUUCACCAAAAAAAUAAAUGCAUGGACUGAAAUCUUAUAUAUACAAUUUUUUAUUUGUCUUUUUUUUUGACAGGAGCGUCAGUAGCUCCAGUCUGUUACCUGUUUAAGCCUGUAUGGAAAUCUAAACUAAGUA
This is a long non-coding RNA of Tachysurus fulvidraco (yellow catfish), 2164 nucleotides long. RefSeq lists it as uncharacterized. The record is from RefSeq and is a predicted model, not a curated record. The transcript has 3 exons. NCBI's taxonomy places the organism in Eukaryota, Metazoa, Chordata, Actinopteri, Siluriformes, Bagridae.